Molecule: ribosomal RNA, 510 nt
Filed under: uncultured bacterium
Lineage: Bacteria
Description: partial 16S ribosomal RNA
Rfam family: Bacterial small subunit ribosomal RNA
Source: RNAcentral
GACGAACGCUGGCGGCGUGCUUAACACAUGCAAGUCGAACGAAGAGCGAUGGAAGCUUGCUUCUAUCAAUCUUAGUGGCGAACGGGUGAGUAACGCGUAAUCAACCUGCCCUUCAGAGGGGGACAACAGUUGGAAACGACUGCUAAUACCGCAUACGAUCUAAUCUCGGCAUCGAGGAUAGAUGAAAGGUGGCCUCUACAUGUAAGCUAUCACUGAAGGAGGGGAUUGCGUCUGAUUUGCUAGUUGGAGGGGUAACGGCCCACCAAGGCGAUGAUCAGUAGCCGGUCUGAGAGGAUGAACGGCCACAUUGGGACUGAGACACGGCCCAGACUCCUACGGGAGGCAGCAGUGGGGAAUCUUCCGCAAUGGACGAAAGUCUGACGGAGCAACGCCGCGUGAGUGAUGACGGCCGUCGGGUUGUAAAGCUCUGUUAAUCGGGACGAAAGGCCUUCUUGCGAAUAGUGAGAAGGAUUGACGGUACCGGAAUAGAAAGCCACGGCUAACUACGUG